This 483-nucleotide ribosomal RNA is filed under the name uncultured bacterium. Its description in RNAcentral is "partial 16S ribosomal RNA". It matches the Rfam family "Bacterial small subunit ribosomal RNA", at positions 28 to 507 of the family's 1533-position model. The record is from RNAcentral.
GACGAACGCUGGCGGCGUGCUUAACACAUGCAAGUCGAACGCUGAAGCUCAGCUUUUGUUGGGUGGAUGAGUGGCGAACGGGUGAGUAACACGUGAGUAACCUGCCCCCUUCUUUGGGAUAACGCCCGGAAACGGGUGCUAAUACUGGAUAUUCACUGGUCUUCGCAUGGGGGUUGGUGGAAAGGGUUUUUCUGGUGGGGGAUGGGCUCGCGGCCUAUCAGCUUGUUGGUGGGGUGAUGGCCUACCAAGGCUUUGACGGGUAGCCGGCCUGAGAGGGUGACCGGUCACAUUGGGACUGAGAUACCGCCCAGACUCGUACGGGUGGCAGCAGUGGGGAAUAAUGCACAAUGGGCGCAAGCCUGAUGCAGCGACGCCGCGUGAGGGAUGGAGGCCUUCGGGUUGUGAACCUCUUUCGCUCAUGGUCAAGCCGCAACAAUGGUUGUGGUGAGGGUAGUGGGUAAAGAAGCGCCGGCUAACUACGUG